Acanthochromis polyacanthus (spiny chromis) is the source of this 863-nucleotide long non-coding RNA. RefSeq lists it as uncharacterized. The record is from RefSeq and is a predicted model, not a curated record. Lineage: Eukaryota; Metazoa; Chordata; Actinopteri; Pomacentridae. The transcript has 3 exons.
AGACGGAUGGAUCAUUUACAGCUUUAAUUUGAUCAGUAAAACGUGUAACUGAAUCCUUCUUCUGACACUGAACCUGUAGAACCAGAGCAAAUAAGGCAGCAGGUUCCACUCAGAACUCGUUUAGAACCUGGUAUUUCAUGGCGUUCUCUGUCUUUGUCACUUUAAUCUGCAGUGAAACUUUAUUUUCCACAGAUCCCAGCGUCCACAUACUUCUGUCUGUUUCCUCCCUCUGAGUCGCCUCCCGGUUCCUCCUCCCUCCCGGUUCCUCCUCCCUCCCGGUUCUCUCCACGUUCUCCUCCCCCUCCGGGCCCCCUGAUUGGCUGUCAGUAAGCCCAGAGCUCCGCCCCCUUCCUGCUGCUCAGAGGGAGGACAGUGAAAGUGGAGAACAGCAGCAGACGUGUUGCAACAGAUGGAUUCAGCUGCAGCCGCUCUGCAGAACCGUGGAGGAGAACCUCUGCGGACGUUCUACAAGUUGUGUGUUUGCUGCAAGGAGCUGAUGGAGCCGUGAGGUUCCUCCUCCAGGAGAACACCUGCUGACGGAUCCAGCAGGAGGCGCCGCAGCAGCAGACGUUCUUCUCCUCCAACUGUCCCUGCUGAGUCCAACACUGUGACACCUGCUGCAGGAGCUGAGGACCAUCAGGGUGAAGCAGCUGAUUGGUUGACCUGUCGGGGGGUCGGAGGUCAUGGCGGGCCGACUCCUCCUCUUCCUUUGCGUCUAUGUGACGCUUGGCCACGCCCACUUACCAUCCGGACAGCGUCUCAAGCCCCGCCUCCAGAGAGACAGACGCAACAUCCGACCAAACAUCAUCCUGAUCCUGACGGACGACCAGGACCUGGAGCUGGGUACGUGUACUACUAUAGAG